AGGCAAGUAGAGCUGUAGGUAGAUGCUGACUACAAGUUACAAGAUAUGAAGAAGAUUUAUAAAGACUUGAAACUUACAGGGAAAGGAUACAAGAAAAAACUCAACGAUUUGCUUAUUGCUCUGUCAAAGCAUAUUGAGUAAAUUCAGAAAGACUUGGUGGACCCGAAAAAGCUUCAGGCAACUCUAAGUGAUGAAACUCUUGGUCAGACUUGUGAUCGAUCUGAAGACAGCUCUUGAGACAGUUUCACUUCUAGAAGCUCAACUGAAAGAGAUGAACCCAAAUUUUGACUCGAUCUCUAAGUAGCGGAAGAAAGUAUCUGUGUACAAUGAAAGAGUUCAAAAGCUUAAUUCUGUUACUCAAGAGCGCGAUGAUAUUAAAAAAUAAUAUGAUGAGUAGAGGAAGAGAAGGUUGGAUGAGUUUAUGGCAGGUUUUAAUACCGUAUCUUUGAAGCUUUAAGAAAUUAUCAGGUAUUCAGCUCAGUUUUGACUUGCUUUUCUUAUCUAAAAAAUUUUCCCAUCUAAUUCUCAAGUUAAAUUUCAUCUGGGUA
Capsicum annuum is the source of this 548-nucleotide long non-coding RNA. RefSeq lists it as uncharacterized. The record is from RefSeq and is a predicted model, not a curated record. NCBI's taxonomy places the organism in Eukaryota, Viridiplantae, Streptophyta, Magnoliopsida, Solanales, Solanaceae. The transcript has 4 exons.